UUCAUGUUUUUAACCAAACUUUCCGCUCUUCUUGUUUUUGCUCAUUGUUAAAAGAAGAUAGUUAAACGGUGAUGUUUGCUUGUAUUGGAAACUUUGUGGCGCCAAUUACGCUAUUUUCUAAUUUUACGUAAUUUGUUUAAUUAUUUUCGAAGAUGCCGGCGUUUUUGAAGCAUAUCGAAGUCGAGAACUUUAAAUCUUAUAAAGGAAAGCUUAUUAUCGGGCCAUUGAAAUCUUUUACGGCAGUUGUUGGCCCCAAUGGAUCUGGAAAGUCUAACUUUAUGGAUGCUAUAAGUUUUGUUAUGGGUGAGAAAACUAGCAGCUUGCGAGU
Long non-coding RNA from Formica exsecta, 328 nucleotides. RefSeq lists it as uncharacterized. NCBI's taxonomy places the organism in Eukaryota, Metazoa, Arthropoda, Insecta, Hymenoptera, Formicidae. The transcript is spliced from 2 exons. The record is from RefSeq and is a predicted model, not a curated record.